UACGUAGGUGGCAAGCGUUGUCCGGAUUUACUGGGCGUAAAGAGCGCGCAGGCGGUCGUUCAAGUCGCGUGUGAAAGCCCCCGGCUCAACUGGGGAGGGUCACGCGAUACUGAUCGACUCGAAGGCAGGAGAGGGUAGUGGAAUUCCCGGUGUAGUGGUGAAAUGCGUAGAUAUCGGGAGGAACAUCAGUGGCGAAAGCGGCUUCCUGGACCAGCACCGACGUUCAGGCACGAAAGCGUGGGGAGCAAACAGG
Molecule: ribosomal RNA, 253 nt
Filed under: uncultured bacterium
Lineage: Bacteria
Description: partial 16S ribosomal RNA
Rfam family: Bacterial small subunit ribosomal RNA
Source: RNAcentral